This 481-nucleotide ribosomal RNA is filed under the name uncultured bacterium. RNAcentral describes it as "partial 16S ribosomal RNA". It matches the Rfam family "Bacterial small subunit ribosomal RNA", at positions 30 to 506 of the family's 1533-position model. The record is from RNAcentral.
AUUGAACGCUGGCGGCAUGCCUUACACAUGCAAGUCGAACGGUAACAGGUCUUCGGAUGCUGACGAGUGGCGAACGGGUGAGUAAUACAUCGGAACGUGCCCGAUCGUGGGGGAUAACGAGGCGAAAGCUUUGCUAAUACCGCAUACGAUCUACGGAUGAAAGCGGGGGAUCUUCGGACCUCGCGCGGACGGAGCGGCCGAUGGCAGAUUAGGUAGUUGGUGGGAUAAAAGCUUACCAAGCCGACGAUCUGUAGCUGGUCUGAGAGGAUGAUCAGCCACACUGGGACUGAGACACGGCCCAGACUCCUACGGGAGGCAGCAGUGGGGAAUUUUGGACAAUGGGCGAAAGCCUGAUCCAGCCAUGCCGCGUGCAGGAUGAAGGCCUUCGGGUUGUAAACUGCUUUUGUACGGAACGAAAAGCCUCUUUCUAAGAAAGAGGGGUCAUGACGGUACCGUAAGAAUAAGCACCGGCUAACUACGU